RNAcentral lists this non-coding RNA (168 nucleotides) under uncultured Enterocloster sp. Its description in RNAcentral is "Lysine riboswitch". It matches the Rfam family "Lysine riboswitch aptamer". Rfam says of the family: Riboswitches are metabolite binding domains within certain messenger RNAs that serve as precision sensors for their corresponding targets. The record is from RNAcentral. Lineage: Bacteria; Bacillati; Bacillota; Clostridia; Lachnospirales; Lachnospiraceae.
GCGAGUAGAGGUUGCGUCAAUCAUCAGUACCGGAGCCGGAUGUGGCAGGCACAGGAGAUGGGCCGGGAAAGGGAGAGACGCCGAAGGGAGAUUUUUCCUGUGUGAAUUUCCCUGGGCGCAGGAUGAAGAAUCCUGUGACUGUCAUCCGGGCGUAUGGAGAGCUACUGA